UGCUUCGGUAUGGAGCGUACUACAGGUGCUGCAUGGCUGUCGUCAGCUCGUGUCGUGAGAUGUUGGGUUAAGUCCCGCAACGAGCGCAACCCUGCAUCCAGUUGCCAUCGGGCGAGCCGGGCACUCUGGAGGGACUGCCGGCGACAAGCCGGAGGAAGGUGGGGGAUGACGUCAAGUCAUCAUGGCCCUUAUGUCCAGGGCGACACACGUGCUACAAUGGCCGGCACAGCGGGAAGCGGAGGGGCGACCCUGAGCGGAUCCCUUAGAAAGCCGGUCCCAGUUCGGAUUGCAGUCUGCAACUCGACUGCAUGAAGUUGGAAUCGCUAGUAAUCGCGGAUCAGCCAAGCCGCGGUGAAUACGUUCCCGGGCCUU
RNAcentral lists this ribosomal RNA (372 nucleotides) under uncultured Thermovirga sp. RNAcentral describes it as "bacterial SSU rRNA". It matches the Rfam family "Bacterial small subunit ribosomal RNA", at positions 1012 to 1382 of the family's 1533-position model. The record is from RNAcentral. Lineage: Bacteria; Thermotogati; Synergistota; Synergistia; Synergistales; Thermovirgaceae.